This 506-nucleotide ribosomal RNA is filed under the name uncultured bacterium. Its description in RNAcentral is "partial 16S ribosomal RNA". It matches the Rfam family "Bacterial small subunit ribosomal RNA", at positions 29 to 523 of the family's 1533-position model. The record is from RNAcentral.
AGUGAACGCUGGCGGUAGGCCUAACACACGCAAGUCGAACGGCAGCACAGGAGAGCUUGCUCUCUGGGUGGCGAGUGGCGGACGGGUGAGGAAUACAUCGGAAUCUACUUUUUCGUGGGGGAUAACGUAGGGAAACUUACGCUAAUACCGCAUACGACCUACGGGUGAAAGCAGGGGAUCUUCGGACCUUGCGCGAUUGAAUGAGCCGAUGUCGGAUUAGCUAGUUGGCGGGGUAAAGGCCCACCAAGGCGACGAUCCGUAGCCGGUCUGAGAGGAUGAUCAGCCACACUGGAACUGAGACACGGUCCAGACUCCUACGGGAGGCAGCAGUGGGGAAUAUUGGACAAUGGGCGCAAGCCUGAUCCAGCCAUACCGCGUGGGUGAAGAAGGCCUUCGGGUUGUAAAGCCCUUUUGUUGGGAAAGAAAUCCAGCUGGUUAAUACCCGGUUGGGAUGACGGUACCCAAAGAAUAAGCACCGGCUAACUUCGUGCCAGCCGCCGCGGUAA